RNAcentral lists this transfer RNA (67 nucleotides) under Malcus inconspicuus. RNAcentral describes it as "tRNA-Leu". It matches the Rfam family "tRNA". Rfam says of the family: Transfer RNA (tRNA) molecules are approximately 80 nucleotides in length. Their secondary structure includes four short double-helical elements and three loops (D, anti-codon, and T loops). Further hydrogen bonds mediate the characteristic L-shaped molecular structure. tRNAs have two regions of fundamental functional importance: the anti-codon, which is responsible for specific mRNA codon recognition, and the 3' end, to which the tRNAs corresponding amino acid is attached (by aminoacyl-tRNA synthetases). tRNAs cope with the degeneracy of the genetic code in two manners: having more than one tRNA (with a specific anti-codon) for a particular amino acid; and 'wobble' base-pairing, i.e. permitting non-standard base-pairing at the 3rd anti-codon position. The record is from RNAcentral. Lineage: Eukaryota; Metazoa; Arthropoda; Insecta; Hemiptera; Malcidae.
ACUAUUUUGGCAGAAUGAAAUGCAGUAAAUUUAGAAUUUAUUUAUGUAAUUUUAAUUACAUUUAGUA